UUAAGUUAGAAAGGGCGCACGGUGGAUGCCUUGGCACUAGGAGCCGAUGAAGGACGGGACGAACACCGAUAUGCUUCGGGGAGCUGUAAGCAAGCUUUGAUCCGGAGAUUUCCGAAUGGGGAAACCCACCACUCGUAAUGGAGUGGUAUCCAUAUCUGAAUACAUAGGAUAUGAGAAGGCAGACCCGGGGAACUGAAACAUCUAAGUACCUGGAGGAAGAGAAAGCAAAUGCGAUUCCCUGAGUAGCGGCGAGCGAAACGGGACCAGCCCAAACCAAGAGGCUUGCCUCUUGGGGUUGUAGGACACUCUGUACGGAGUUACAAAGGAACGAGGUAGAUGAAGAGGUCUGGAAAGGCCCGCCAUAGGAGGUAACAGCCCUGUAGUCAAAACUUCGUUCUCUCCUGAGUGGAUCCUGAGUACGGCGGAACACGUGAAAUUCCGUCGGAAUCCGGGAGGACCAUCUCCCAAGGCUAAAUACUCCCUAGUGACCGAUAGUGAACCAGUACCGUGAGGGAAAGGUGAAAAGCACCCCGGAAGGGGAGUGAAAGAGAUCCUGAAACCGUGUGCCUACAAGUAGUCAGAGCCCGUUAACGGGUGAUGGCGUGCCUUUUGUAGAAUGAACCGGCGAGUUACGAUCCCGUGCAAGGUUAAGCAGAAGAUGCGGAGCCGCAGCGAAAGCGAGUCUGAAUAGGGCGAAUUGAGUACGUGGUCGUAGACCCGAAACCAGGUGAUCUACCCAUGUCCAGGGUGAAGUUCAGGUAACACUGAAUGGAGGCCCGAACCCACGCACGUUGAAAAGUGCGGGGAUGAGGUGUGGGUAGGGGUGAAAUGCCAAUCGAACCUGGAGAUAGCUGGUUCUCUCCGAAAUAGCUUUAGGGCUAGCCUCAAGGUAAGAGUCUCGGAGGUAGAGCACUGAUUGGACUAGGGGCCCCUACCGGGUUACCGAAUUCAGUCAAACUCCGAAUGCCGAUGACUUAUCCUUGGGAGUCAGACUGCGAGUGAUAAGAUCCGUAGUCGAAAGGGAAACAGCCCAGACCGCCAGCUAAGGUCCCAAAGUAUACGUUAAGUGGAAAAGGAUGUGGAGUUGCUUAGACAACCAGGAUGUUGGCUUAGAAGCAGCCACCAUUUAAAGAGUGCGUAAUAGCUCACUGGUCGAGUGACUCUGCGCCGAAAAUGUACCGGGGCUAAACGUAUCACCGAAGCUGCGGACUGUUCUUCGAACAGUGGUAGGAGAGCGUUCUAAGGGCUGUGAAGCAAGACCGGAAGGACUUGUGGAGCGCUUAGAAGUGAGAAUGCCGGUAUGAGUAGCGAAAGAGGGGUGAGAAUCCCCUCCACCGAAUGCCUAAGGUUUCCUGAGGAAGGCUCGUCCGCUCAGGGUUAGUCGGGACCUAAGCCGAGGCCGAAAGGCGUAGGCGAUGGAUAACAGGUUGAUAUUCCUGUACCACCUCCUCACCAUUUGAGCAAUGGGGGGACGCAGGAGGAUAGGGUAAGCGCGGUAUUGGAUAUCCGCGUCCAAGCAGUUAGGCUGGGAAAUAGGCAAAUCCGUUUCCCGUGAAGGCUGAGCUGUGAUGGCGAGCGAAUUAUAGUAGCGAAGUUCCUGAUUCCACACUGCCAAGAAAAGCCUCUAGCGAGGUGAGAGGUGCCCGUACCGCAAACCGACACAGGUAGGCGAGGAGAGAAUCCUAAGGUGAUCGAGAGAACUCUCGUUAAGGAACUCGGCAAAAUGACCCCGUAACUUCGGGAGAAGGGGUGCUCUGUUAGGGUGCAAGCCCGAGAGAGCCGCAGUGAAUAGGCCCAGGCGACUGUUUAGCAAAAACACAGGUCUCUGCGAAGCCGUAAGGCGAAGUAUAGGGGCUGACGCCUGCCCGGUGCUGGAAGGUUAAGAGGAGCGCUUAGCGUAAGCGAAGGUGCGAAUUGAAGCCCCAGUAAACGGCGGCCGUAACUAUAACGGUCCUAAGGUAGCGAAAUUCCUUGUCGGGUAAGUUCCGACCCGCACGAAAGGCGCAACGAUCUGGGCACUGUCUCAACGAGAGACUCGGUGAAAUUAUAGUACCUGUGAAGAUGCAGGUUACCCGCGACAGGACGGAAAGACCCCGUGGAGCUUUACUGCAGCCUGAUAUUGAAUGUUGGUACAGCUUGUACAGGAUAGGUAGGAGCCUUGGAAACCGGAGCGCCAGCUUCGGUGGAGGCAUCGGUGGGAUACUACCCUGGCUGUAUUGACCUUCUAACCCGCCGCCCUUAUCGGGCGGGGAGACAGUGUCAGGUGGGCAGUUUGACUGGGGCGGUCGCCUCCUAAAAGGUAACGGAGGCGCCCAAAGGUUCCCUCAGAAUGGUUGGAAAUCAUUCGCAGAGUGUAAAGGCACAAGGGAGCUUGACUGCGAGACCUACAAGUCGAGCAGGGACGAAAGUCGGGCUUAGUGAUCCGGUGGUUCCGCAUGGAAGGGCCAUCGCUCAACGGAUAAAAGCUACCCCGGGGAUAACAGGCUUAUCUCCCCCAAGAGUCCACAUCGACGGGGAGGUUUGGCACCUCGAUGUCGGCUCAUCGCAUCCUGGGGCUGUAGUCGGUCCCAAGGGUUGGGCUGUUCGCCCAUUAAAGCGGUACGCGAGCUGGGUUCAGAACGUCGUGAGACAGUUCGGUCCCUAUCCGUCGCGGGCGCAGGAAAUUUGAGAGGAGCUGUCCUUAGUACGAGAGGACCGGGAUGGACGCACCGCUGGUGUACCAGUUGUUCUGCCAAGGGCAUCGCUGGGUAGCUAUGUGCGGACGGGAUAAGUGCUGAAAGCAUCUAAGCAUGAAGCCCCCCUCAAGAUGAGAUUUCCCAUUCCGCAAGGAAGUAAGAUCCCUGAAAGAUGAUCAGGUUGAUAGGUCUGAGGUGGAAGUGUGGCGACACAUGGAGCUGACAGAUACUAAUCGAUCGAGGACUUAACCAA
This 2928-nucleotide ribosomal RNA is filed under the name Bacillus sp. Co1-6. RNAcentral's name for it is "bacterial LSU rRNA". It matches the Rfam family "Bacterial large subunit ribosomal RNA". The record is from RNAcentral. Lineage: Bacteria; Bacillati; Bacillota; Bacilli; Caryophanales; Bacillaceae.